Molecule: ribosomal RNA, 405 nt
Filed under: uncultured bacterium
Lineage: Bacteria
Description: bacterial SSU rRNA
Rfam family: Bacterial small subunit ribosomal RNA
Source: RNAcentral
GAUGAACGCUAGCGGCAGGCUUAACACAUGCAAGUCGAGGGGUAUUGGUUUUCGGACCAAGAGACCGGCGCACGGGUGCGUAACGCGUAUGCAAUCUACCUUUUGCAGAGGGAUAGCCCCAGAGAAAUUUGGAUUAAUACCUCAUAAUAUAGUACUUUGGCAUCAAGGAACUAUUAAAGUCACAACGGCAAAGAUGAGCAUGCGUCCCAUUAGCUAGUUGGUAAGGUAACGGCUUACCAAGGCUACGAUGGGUAGGGGUCCUGAGAGGGAGAUCCCCCACACUGGUACUGAGACACGGACCAGACUCCUACGGGAGGCAGCAGUGAGGAAUAUUGGACGAAUGGGCGGCAAGCCUGAUCCAGCCAUGCCGCGUGCAGGAUGACGGUCCUAUGGAUUGUAAACUGC